Molecule: ribosomal RNA, 375 nt
Filed under: uncultured bacterium
Lineage: Bacteria
Description: bacterial SSU rRNA
Rfam family: Bacterial small subunit ribosomal RNA
Source: RNAcentral
AUACGAAGGGGGCUAGCGUUGUUCGGAAUCACUGGGCGUAAAGCGCACGUAGGCGGAUUGUUAAGUGAGGGGUGAAAUCCCAGGGCUCAACCCUGGAACUGCCUUUCAUACCGGCAAUCUCGAGUUCGAGAGAGGUAAGUGGAAUUCCGAGUGUAGAGGUGAAAUUCGUAGAUAUUCGGAGGAACACCAGUGGUGAAGGCGGCUUACUGGAUCGAUACUGACGCUGAGGCGCGAAAGCGUGGGGAGCAAACAGGAUUAGAUACCCUGGUAGUCCACGCCGUAAACUAUGAGAGCUAGCCGUCGGCAAGUACACUUGUCGGUGGCGCAGCUAACGCAUUAAGCUCUCCGCCUGGGGAGUACGGUCGCAAGAUUAAA